AUGGCCAAUCUCAGGGAGCUAAAUACAAAGGGGAUCUCGUGGAAGACUAUGAGUCAUGGUUGGAAAAAGCUACAGAAGCUUCACAAGCUCCGGGUAACCGGAUCUUCAGAUGUGGUUACGGUGGACAGUUGCUCUUUUGUAGAUAUGAUGAACUUGGAGCUUCUUGACUUAUCUGGCAACACUCACAUGGAAUCACUACCGACGUUGUCAUCGGCAAAAACCUUGAAGAUGCUUUCUCUUGAUGGUUGUUCCAACUUGGAGCAUGUUGCACUGGCCAUGGAAGAAGCACCACCACUGCUUGAAAGCUUUAGCUUCGAUGGUUAUUGUCUCGCAGAGAAUUGGUCACAUCCUGUACAUCUGCCCCAAGAGGACAUGCGCCUCAAAGAUCCUAUAGCUCCAAUUAAAAUAGCCAAGGUGACCAAGAUCUCCCUACACGGUUGUGGAAGAUUGCGAAACAUAUUCCUUCGUGGAUUGCCCAAUCUGGAGAAACUGGACCUCUCUGGUACAGCCAUUAAAUCACUUGACCUCCAUUUCACUAUAAUAGAUUUCCCGAAACUCAAGAAGCUAUUCCUACAGGGCUGUGAGCAUCUCCGUUGUCUAAGAUGGAAGUGGUGUCAGAGGUUGGAAGUUCUACAUGUGGACACGCAUGGGGAGAAAAGAUCAAUGGUCUGCUGUGAAGGACAGAGAUCAUUUGUCUUUCAGGCAUGUAUUGCAUUUUCAGAUGGAAGGUUCAUUUGGUCGGCCCUUGAUGGAAUCUAUACAUGGCUAGGAGGUCACUUCAAGUUCUACCUCCUUAUCUCUUGUACAAGCCAUAGCCAAGCCAAUAUCACCAGAAGUAUCCAAGGUAUUGGCUCUAGCCAAGAGGAUAAUUUGGUUGCAACAAGGUCGCUGUUACCAUAUGAUGAUAUCCCCCUUGCUGAAGAUGUAACUUGCUCGUCCUUAGUGUGGUACUGUCGCCAGGUUCAAACUUUCGAUCUGCAUAUCGAGAUUGGUGAAGGAAGCUACAAUUUAGGGAGUAUGGAGGGUAGUGAAAAUUUCAGAGCUUUCGUGCUCCAUGUUCAGUCAUUGCAUGUGCAUGACAAUUCCUCCAUCACUGCUUUCCCAGGAGUACAUUGGAGCAGACUAGAAUGGUGUCAUGUUGAGAGGUGCCCCAGGCUACACUCCUUGUUUUCUUCCCGGGGUGGAUAUGGUAUGAAGACGUUUUCAGCGUCGGAUCUCCUCGUGGCCUAUUGCAUCUGGCCUAGUGAUACUUAUCACCAACAGCUGCAGCACAUAUACCUCUACAAUUGCCCCAGGCCGGUGUUCGCCUUCCCCAUUUGCCGCACCUUGCCCAGCCUGGAGACCCUCCAAAUUGCGUACUGCAGUAACCUCCGGCAUGUUUUCCCAACGGACCACGAGUUCCCUGAGGAUGAGGAAAUAGCAUCUGGUGUCACAUUCCACAACCUGAAGUACAUCAAGCUACACCAUCUUCACAAGUUGGAGCAGAUAUGUGAGGCCAGAUUGACUGCACCUGCGUUGCAGACGGUCGGCAUCAGGGACUGCUGGGGUCUCAGGCGCCUUCCGGCUGUAGCGCGUGAAGGCCCAAAGCCGGUGGUGGACUGUGAGAAGGACUUGUGGGACAACCUCGAGUGGGAUGGCCUGGAUGCCGGACAUGACCCGUCGCUCUUCGAAAUGCACCACUCGGCCUACUACAAGAAAACCCUCCCAAGGGGCUCCUACCUAAGGUAA
RNAcentral lists this ribosomal RNA (1728 nucleotides) under Triticum aestivum (bread wheat). RNAcentral describes it as "partial small subunit ribosomal RNA". Lineage: Eukaryota; Viridiplantae; Streptophyta; Magnoliopsida; Poales; Poaceae. The record is from RNAcentral.